CUUUUCUCCUCAAGAAAUCUUAGUUCCUCCUCUCUUCACAGAGGAAGGCUUCUUAAAAAACAAAGUAAAACAAAACCCCUUGGGAGGGGGGAGUAUGCUGGGGAAAGAAAGGAGAUGGGGCAGCAGCAGGAGGACCAGAAUCUUCUUUGGGGUAAAAUACAGAAACUGUGAUCAGAGGAGAUCAGCCUGUUGGCUUGGGCUGCACCCAGUGGGCACCUGUCUGCAAUGUGGAUGAGGGAGGCUGCAGGGGGCUGGGCCAGUGAGGAGUCAAGUUCAGCAUGAAGAAGGAAGGUGUCGGUGCCUGAAGAUGUCUUGGAUGUAGCAUUUACCUAUAAGUGGGAAGAACGAUCAGAGUCAUCUGCAAGGUCAUGCUGGAAGGUCAACACUGAGCCUCUUUUCCCAGGAAGAUGGAGUAGACAUAUGUUUUUCCCUAUUUCUCCCACUGUGCACAAAUAGAAUCCCUGGACAUUAUAUAUAAAAUAUAUGAAAGAAGACUCUUAAAGAUGGAGAGAAGAAAAUAGACCUGCUAGGGGCCUCAGGACACAAGGAACAACAUGGUGGUGAGUUCCUAGGAUUUCUUUUUUGCCUCAUAUAUCUCAGAAUUAGAGCUAAAGAAGUCAGCAAACUGGAAACUCCAAAGGUGCACACAACCCUCCCACCCCCACCCCUCCAAGCCUGCUCGCUAGUUAAAGGAUACAAAAACAGGCAGCCUAGCAAGCCAGAAAACCUUCAGGUAGUAACCACUCCACUAUAGACCAACACCAUGGAAAAACUAUGCCCCACCCCUAACCGUUGCAACAGAGGCCUAGUGAAGAGGCUAAACUUCUCCUUUUCCAAGGCUAUAAUGAGGUUCUCCAACAUCAACACUGUGGUUGUUUUAGCAAAGGUCUUUUAGGGAAUGGAGACUUUCAUUCCUCUUAGAUGGUAAUAAGCACUCCUUCCAGGGUGUCAGUAGAGACCACACAGGGAGCAAUAAUGAGUUACUUCUACACCUCCCAGCCAAGGAUAUGUAAAUGGAAGCCUAGUUAGGAGCUCAGAUUCCCAUUCUUACCCAGCAGUAACAAGGAGUCAUCCCUUCCUUGGUUGUCAGAAGAGGGAAAAUAGGGAACUUGAGUUUCUCCCAGCAGGUGAUAAUAAUGAGUUGGUGCCCCGUCCCUUGUCCUACUGGAGUGAUGUCAAAGGAAGCCAUCUAAAAGAGAGUUUAAUAAGAUCCAAAGUCUCAUAAUAACCCUAAUAUCCAAGUUCCAAUUGAAAAUCACUCAUCAGACCAAGAACCAGGAAGAUCUCAAACUGGGUGAAAAAACAAUCAAUAGAUAUCAACAUCAGGAUGACAAUCAAGACAUGUUAGAAUUACCUGACAAAGAUUUUAAAGCAACCAUCAUACAAAUGCUCUGAUGAGGAAUCAUGAGUAGUUUCAAAACCAAUGAAAAAAUAGAAUAUCUUAGCAAAGGAAGAGAAGUUAUAAAGACUAACCAAGCAAAAAAUUUGGAACAGAAAAAAUACAAUGAGUAAAAUAAAACACUCAAUGGAUCAGCUCAACAACAGAAAGGAGUAAGAGAGGAAAGAAUCAAUGACUUGAAAUAGAAUAGAAAUUAACCAGUAUGAUAAAAAGAGAGGAAAUAUACAGGAAAAAAAGAACAGAGUAUUAGCCCCUAAUGGACCAUAAGACAAAAUCUAAUAUUUGUGGCACUGGAGUCAUAGAGAAGAGGAGAAAUACGGCAGGGCUGAAAGAGUAAUUAAAGAAAUAAUGUCUGAAAACUUUCAAAAUCUGGAAAAAGACAUAAUCUACAGAUUUAAGAAGGGGUGAGAAUUCCAAAAGUGAUAAGCCCAAGGAAAUUCACACCAAGACACAUAUAGUCAAAAAUAGAAGCUAAAUAGAAAAAAAAAAAGUCAUUAGUAAGUGGCUACAGAGAAACAACACCUUAUCUAUAGGGAAAAGACAAUUAAAAUGACAAAAUAUUUCUCAUUAAAAAUCAGGGAGGCCAGGAAUCGGCCUUAUGGCCAAGUGGUUAAGUUCACGUGCUCCACUUUGCCCGCUCAGGGUUUCACCAGUUCAGAUCCAGGGCAUGUACUUAGCACUGCUCAUCAAGCCAUGCUGUGGUGGCAUCCCGUAUUGCAGAACUAGGAGGACCUACAACUAGAAUAUACAACUAUCUAUUGGGGGGUUUUGGAGAGAAGAAGAAGAAGAAGAAGAAGAAAAACAGAUUGGCAAUAGAUGUUAGCUUAGGGCCAACCUUCCAAAAAAAAAAAAAAAAAAUCAAGGAGCCCAGAAGGAAGUGUCCCAACAUUUUAAAGUGCUGAAAGAAAAGACCUGUCAACCUGAAAUCUUAUAUCUAGUGAAAAAUCUUCUGCAAGAAUGAAGAGGAAAUUAAAAUAUUCUCAGAUGAAGAAAACUAAGACAAUUUGCCACCAGCAGAGCAACCUUAAAUAAUGGCUGAAACAGGAGAAGAACAAUGAACAGAGGAAUCUUGGAACAUUAGGAAGAAAGAACAAAGAAGUAAAAAAUAUGGGCAAAUACAAUAGACUUUCUUCUAAUUUAUUCUGAAUUAUGCUUAAUGGUUGAAGCAAAAAUUAUAACGCUUUCUGAUGUAGUUUCUAAUUAUGCAAGUAUAUUAUAAAUGGAGGAGGAUAUAGGAAUGUAAAGGGAAGAAAGAGUCCUACAUUUCAUGCAAACUGGUAAAAUGUCAACACUAGUGACUAUAAAAAUUUAUUUAUAUAUGAUUUAACAUCUAGAGCAACCAUUUAAACAUUAUACAAAGAGAUGCACUCAAAAACACAGAUAAAUAAAAAUAAAAUUCUAAAGAAUGUUCAAAUCAUUCAUAGAAAGGCAGAAAACAGAAAUAUGAAAAGUAGAGAGAACAAACAGAAAAAAUAAAUAAAACAGCAGACUUAAGCCUGAAAUAUCAAUAAUUACAUUAAAUGUAAGUGGUCUAAAUAUACCAAUUUGAAGCAGAGAGUGGAUUAAAAAACAAUAACAACAACAAAAUGCGACCUAACUCUGCUGUCUAUAAGAAACUCACUUCAAAUAUAUAACAAUAUAAACAGGUUGAAACUAAAAGGAUGGAAUAAAAUAUAUCUCAAAAACAUUAAUCAAAGAAAAGCAAGAAUGGCUAUACUAAUAUUGGAUAAAGUAGACUUCGGAACAAAAAAAGUGACUAAGGACAAAGGAUAUUAGAUAAUGAUAAAAGAUUCAAUCCAUGACGAAGACAUAGCAAUCUUAACACCAAAUGACAGAGCUACAAAAUAUGUAAAGGAAAAAGAGAUAGAACUGCAAAGAGAAAGAAAAAUCUACACUUGUAUUUAGGGGGAUCAAACAUUCCUCUCUUAGCAACCGAUAGAACAACUAGACACAAAAUCAGACAAGAUAUAGCAGAACUCAACAAUAUCAACCACAAACAGGAUGUAACAUUUACAGAACUCUCCAUCCAAUAAUAGCAGAAUUUAUAUUCUUUCCAGGUGCCUGCAGAAAAUAUGCCAAGAUAGAUGAUACCCUGUGAGAUAAACCAAACCUCAACAAAUCUAAACGAAAUAAAAUCAUGUAGAGUCUAUUUUCCAACCACAAGGAUUCAAACCAGAAAGACUGCAAGGAAGAGAGACACAGUAGAAUUGCAGGAAAAUCUCCAAAUACAUUCUUAAAUAGUUCCUGGAUCAAAAAGGAAGUCUAAUGGAAAAUCAAAAAAUGCAUUGGAAAAUUUUUUAAAAUGCAUUGAAUUGAAUGGAAAUGAAAAUACAACAUUAUCAGCAUUUGUGGGACUGAGAUAUAGCAGCAUUGAGAGAGAAAUUAUAGCACUAAGAAAUUAAAAAAAAAAACCCAAAGCAAGUAGAAGGAACAAAAGAAUAAAAAUAAGAACAGAAAUAAAUGAACUUGAAAACAGAAAAACAAUUAGGAAAUCAACGAAACAAAGAGCCAGUUUUACCAAAAAAAUCAACAAAAUUAACAAACUUCUAUCAAGACUAACAAGGAAGAAAGAAGGAAGAGACAAAUCACCAAUAACAGGAAUAAAACAGGCGAUAUCCCUACAGAUUCUGUAGAUAUCAAAAGAGAAUAAUAUAAAUAGAGAAAGGUAAAUAAGGGAAUACGAUGAACAACUCUACAGACAAAUUGAAUAACUUAGGCGAAAUUGACUAAUUUCAAAAACAAAUAUUACCACUGCUAUUAAAAAAUUUGAACUUUUAAUUUAAAAACUCUCAGGAGGGGCCGGCCCCGGGGCUGAGUGGUUAAGUUCGCGCUCCGCUUUGCGGUACAGUUUCACUGGUUUGGAUCCUAGGCGCGGACGUGGCGCUUCUCAUCAGGCCAUGCUGGAGCGGCAUCCCACAUGCCACAACUGGAAGGACUCACAACUAAAAUAUACAACUAUGUAUUGGGGGGAUUUGGGGAGAAAAAGCAGAAAAAAAAAAACCUCUCAGGAAGAAAUUGUCAUGCCCAGAUGUUUUCACUGGAAAAUUCUAUGCAACAUUUAAAGAAGAAUUAAUAUCAGUUCUACACAGUUUUUUUUACAGACAAUAGAAAGCAGAAGAAACACUCUCUAAUUCAUUUUUAUAAAUCUAGAUUUACCCUGAUAUCAAACCCAGAAAAGAAAAUCCCCAAAAAAAGAAAAAACCCAAAAAACACUACAGACCAGUAAUAUAUAAAAAGCAUUAAACACCAUGACCCAGUGGGAUUUGUUCCAAGGAUGAAAGGCUGGUUCAUUGAAAAUCAACCAUAUAACAGUAUAAUCUAUGAUAUUAAGAGGCUGAAGAAAAAAAAUCACAUCAUGAUAUCACUUAAUGAAAAAGAACACUUGAAAAAAUUCAACACUCAUUCAUGAUAAAAACUCAGAAAAAUAGGAAUAUAGAAGAAUAUCCUUAACUUGAUAAAGAUUGUCUACACAAAAACCUACAGCUAACCUUAUAUUCAAUAAAGAAUGAAUGCUUUCUGCCUAAGAUUGGGAACAAUGUAAGAUUGUCCUUUCUCUUCACUCAUAUUCCACAUAAUGUGGAAGUUCUGACCAGUGUGAUAAGGCGAGGAAAUGAAAUAAAAAGUGUACAGAUUAGAAAGGAAGAAAUAAAACUGUCCUGAUUUGUAAAUGACAUGACAGUCUACAUAGAAAAUCCCAAUGAAUCUACAAAUAUCUCCUAGAAGUAAUAAGUGAGUUUAGAAAGGUCACAGGAUACAAGAUCAAUGUGCCAAAGUAAAUUGUAUUUUCAUAUACUGGCAAUGAACAUGUGGACAAUACCAUGUAUAAUCAUUUUUUAAAAUGAAAUAGUUGUAAAUCUAACAAAACAUGUAUAGAACUUCCAUGCUGAAAACCACAAAAGGCCAACAAAAAGAUUCAAAGGAAAUCUCAAUAAAUGGAAGGACAUACUUUGUCCAUCAAACAGAGACUUGACAUAGCAACGAUGUCAAUUCUCCCCAAAUGAGAUAUGGGUUUAACACACAAUUCCUAUCAAAAUCCCCGCAAGAUUUUUCUUGUAGAUAGAGACAAGAUCAUUUUUAAAUUUCUAUGAAAUGUCAGGGAAACUAAAAUAGCUAAAACAAUUUUGAAAAACAAGAACAAAGUGGAUAGAAUGAGUAUAUUCAAUUUCAUGGCUUGCUAUAUAGCUACAGUAAUCAAGAUUGUGUGGUGUUGGUAAAAGGAUAAACACAUAGAUCAACACAACAGAAUAGAGAACUCAGAAGUAUAUCCAACUCUUUUUUGACAAAAGCACAAAAGCAAUUCAGUAGAGGAAAGAUGGUGUUUUCAAUAAAUGGUUGAAGAAAUUAGACAUCCAUAGGCAAAAAUCAAACCUUAAACUAAGUCUCACAUGUUAUCUAAAAACAAACUCACAAUAGAACAUGCAGGUAGGGACCAGCCCGGUGGAAUAGUGGUUAAGUUUUCAUGCUUUACUUCAGUGGCCUGGGGUUCACAGGUUCAGAUCCUGGUUGUGGACCUAAACAUUGUUCAUCAAGCCAUGCUGUGGUGGCAUUCCACAUACAAAAUAGAGGAAGAUUGGCACAGAUGUUAGCUUAUUGACAAUCUUCCUCAAGCAAAAAGAGGAAGAUUGGCAAUGGGUGUUACUCAGGGCCAAUCUUCCUCACCAAAAAAACAAAAACACCACAAUGAAAUAUCAUUACACAUUUAUCAGAGUGGAUAAAAAAAUUGCCAAAUGCUAGUGAGGAUGUAAGAAUGCAAAAACACUGGAACCCUCACACAUUGUUGGUGGCUAUGUAAAAUAGCACAGCCACUAAGGAAAAUAUUUUGGCAGUUCUUCAAAACUAAACAUCCAACUACCAUACAAUCCAGUAAUUACACUCAUAAGCAUUUAUCCAAGCUAAAUGAAAAUUUUGUUUACACAAAAACCUAUAAAUGAAUGUUUAUAGCAAAUUUGUACUAGUAAAAAACUGAAAGCAACUCAGAUAUCCUUCAAUGAGUGAAUGAUUAAACAAACUGUGGUACAUCCAUGACAUAGACUACUAUUCAGCAGUAAGAAAGAACUGUUGAAACACCAACAACCAGGAUGAAUCUCCAGAGAAUGACUCUGAGUGAAAAAAGCCAAUCCCAAAAGGAUAAAUACUGUAUGACUCCAUCUAUGUAACAUUCUUGAAAUGAAAAACUACAGAAAUGAAGAACAGAUGAAUGGUUGCCAAGGGUUAAGGACGGUGUAGAGGUGGGAGGAAAGUGUUUGUUGCUGUAAAAGAUCAGCAUGGAGGAUCCUUGUGGUGAUGGAAACGUUCUGUAUCUUGACUGUUUAAAUGUUAAUAUCCCGGUUGUGAUAUUCUACUGCAGUUUUGAGGAACUAUCAUACUUUUCCAUAGCAUACGCACAAGUUUUCCUUCCCACCAGCAAUGCACAAAAGCUUCAGUGUCUCCAUGUCCUUGCCAACACUUACUAUUUUCUGUUUCUUUUGAGUUUUUGAUGAUAUUCAUCCUAAUGAGUGUGAAGUGGGUGUACUAUGAUUUGGCCAGGUACUGCCAUUGAGGGAAUCUGGGGAAAGGGCACACAGGACCUCUGUAGUAUGUCUCACAAGGGCAUGUGAAUUUACAAUUACCUCAAAAUAAAAAGGUUAUUUUUUUAAAAAAAUCCUAACUGCCAAAAUUAGACAAUAAUGAAAUGUGUAAAGCAAAAAUUAAAAAUCACCCAUAAUCUUACUACUGAGCUGAAGCAAACUUUGGUAGUUGAGAGCUGGGGUGUUGGAGACAAAGGUCUUAGGUAUGAUUCAUUGCCUCACCACUUCUUAGCUCUAUUAGCUUCUGUUUCCUUAUCUAUAAAAUGGAAAUGAUUUUUUUUUUUUGUGAAGAAUUAUAAAGGGUCUAAAAAUUUACCCUACAUGCCAGCUAACAAAUUAGUCUGCCACAGUUUCAUGAGUGCUAGCAGAAGACCAGUGAUUCCCAGGCCAGAGACAAAAACUUUCCUGCUCACAGCGGCAGCUCCAGAGUAUCAGCAUUUCAGCCAAUUUUCCAAGCCUCACUGCCCACAGGACAACACAAAGAGGGUGAGGUGAUGCCUCCACAUUCAGUGGUUUGAGUUAUUGGAGAGGUGCUUAGGGAACUCAAACCUUUCACAUUAGGUAGCAGGUUUGCUUGACCUUUGCCCUGGAGAGAGAUAUCUUUAUGAUACUGAACAAUGAACCUUGCCCAAUGUCCAUCUUACAAGGCUGUUUGCUAUAUAAACACUCUUGAAAGGAUAGACCCAAACCAAGGGAGUCAGUCCUUCUGCUUGCAAAUCAUGCAGAAACUCAAUAGACACAUGGGGAGUUGUCUGCCAACCAUUAUAUAACUCAAAAUGUCUUUGUGAAGUUGUUUGCUUUCUUUGGGGGAGAGGUGGGUAAAGUCUUUGCAGGUAAAGGAUUAGCACAGUCCCUGGACCAUGGUGAGUACUGAAUAAAAGUGAAUUGUCAACUUUUUAAAACAUUUCACAAUCAUGUAAGUCUCUACCAGUCAGUUGAUCAUAUCAUCUAUCUUCCCACCGACACUUUCCAUCAAAAUUCCAUGAUCUCUGGCCUAUGUCUAAAAUACCAAUUUUUCGUCUCCUUUUGCUUCCUUUGUCUCCUUGUUUGCCAAGGAAUAAAGGAGUUCCAGAAAAUAGCUAUAAAGAAUGUUAGGAGGCUCUGUGCUGCCAGCUUCAUUUCCCGGGAUAAAGCUGAUGAAAUUAUCUGUGAUUCUGACAGCUUUUCAGGUUUGUAGAAGAUUAAAUUUCAUAUGCUUGGGCCAGUAGUAGCUUUAAAAACCCUCUGUACCUGAGUGGCUUCCUGUUUUAUAUUUGGCCUUGAUCUUACAUUAGAAGUAUAGACUUAAGUAUUUUUCAAAAUAGGAUGAAUAAAGAGCUGAGUCAUGCUAAUGAGAAUUUAAAGUAGGGGGCUUGGUGGGAAAUGGGUUUGGAACAGAAAUUUGUCUUUCAUUCCUUUGCAAUUUAGUGUUUAAUAGUGGCCAGGGGUCCACAUAGAAAAGACUGGGAGAUGUUACUAAAACUUUGACUUGUAAAAAAUGUUCUCCUCCACCUUCAGGCUUUUCAACUCUGUAUAAGCAGAGAGUUAGGACAUGCACAGGAAAAUACCAACAAGUUAUCAAGAUCUCAGUUCUCAGAAAAGCCUAAUGAAGAUUUAUUUUAAAAAUAUCUCUGCAGGGGCCGCCCCAUGACCUAGUGGUUAAGUUUGCAGCUCUGCUUUGGCAGCCCAGGGUUUCACUGAUUCAGAUCCUGGGCACGGAUAUGGCACCACUCAUCAAGCCAUGCUGAAGCAGCGUCCCACAUAGCACAACCAGAAGGACCUACAACUAGAAUGUACAACUAUGUACUGGGGGGCUUUGGGGAGAAGAAGAGGGGAAAAAAAAGGAAGAUUGGCGGCAGAUGUUAGCUCAGGUGCCAAUCUUUAAAAAAAAAAUCUCUCUCCAGAUAAACUGUCUCUGGUAUUAUUUGUGAACCUUCCAACUUAAGGUCCAGGCAGAAGAGAAGGUGACUAUAAUCUCCCUAGGCUUUUAUCAACACAAAACACUACAGUACCCAAGCUAGUCUCUCAUCUACUUUUUCUCCCAAACUGGCACAUCAUCCCACGCUUCUGUUAACUCUAAAGGGAGAAUAUUUUCAGUCAGUUAUAGUUUUCUUAUAGUGCGAAGUAGAGAUAUGGAAGAAAUCUCUGUUCUCUUGGAAUCAAGAAAUUUUAUAGACCAUCUCCACAAGUUACUUGCUUAAAAGAAACCUUUUCAAAGCUCUCUACAGCACUUUAUGCAUACAACUACAGGAGCUGCUAUAGGAGACACAGAAGCAGCCUCAGUCUCUAUUUUAAGAACUGGUACUCUCAUUGAGAGUAAAAGAAACGUGUAGAACACAUGAUAUGUAGAAUACAUGUCUUGUCAGACAGACCAGCUAAACUGCUAGGAAGACAAAGGAAGGAUGCAGUCAAGGAGGUCUGAGGGAUACCACCAGAAGUGGAGAGAUAACUGGAGGGAUUAAAUCCACUCUAAACAUGAAAAUAUUUUAAAAUGUAACUGCAGGAAAUAGAUCAGACAGACUGCAGGAAAGGAAUUUCAAAUCCCAGUCACUCAGUGAGCCAGACAAAUGAUUUAAAGGGAAAGGCCCAGUGUAACAGAGAAGGAAUGAUGCAAGGGAUAGUUUUCCAAAUACAUAGAUACUGGGGGAGAGUAAAAGAAAGCGGAAGCUGAAGAAGAGUCUUUUGGCACUUGGAUAGUGAAGGGGAAACGAAGUAAAAGGGAAAAACGUUGGACCUGCAAGACAAAAGAUAACCACAAUAUUCGAGGACUCAUAAACCUUCCACCUCUACUGAAACAAAGAAACAAAAGCCCCAUUAAAAUACCCAGCCUUUGCUACACAGAAAAGGGUGCCAUUAAACUAGAAAUCUUGUGAAACACCUCAAUAUCACAAAAAUGAACAAGAGGAAAAUUAAAUUCAUAUAGAACUAUUGAUUUGUAGAAAAUCAGGAAAUGAAUUUUUGCACAAAUUUGUUUUAAAAAAAGAAUCAUAAAGCAGAAGAAAACUGUAAAUCUACAUUCUAAAUAGAAUUGUGUACAAUCGAAUAAGCAUUUUAGGAUAUAAACCACUUUUAAUCAGAAACUAAGCCUAUAAAGGACAAUAAGCAAGAUAAAUUUUUUUAAGUUGAUUGAAUUCAGGAAAGAAAUGGAAGGAAAAGGCAAAAUUCUCUCAGAGACAGAAAUUAAAUUACAAGACAUAAAUGAAAAAUGAAUAAGAGGCAUCAGAAAAGGCCAGACAACAGCUAAGAAAAUGACAGAAAGUCCUAAAAUGGAUGGGAGAGAAAAUAGUGGAAAUGGAAGAUAGGCAAAGAGAGAAUAAUAUUCCUAUCACUAAAAUCCCUGAAGGAGAAAAACAAAUCAACAGAGCAGAACUAAUAUUUAAACUAUAAUCCAAGAAAUAUUUCCAGAGUUAGAAAAUGAUCUGAAUUUAUACAUUGGAAGGAUUGACUGGCUACCUGAGAAAAUUAACAAAGAAUCAUCAACUCUGAGGCAUUUCUGAGUAAAAUUAUUAGAUUUCAAAUAUAAAGAUAUAAAGAUAAAGUCUUCAAGGACUGCAAGGAAAAAAAGACAAAUAACUUUAAAAAGUGAAGGAAUUAGGCUGGCAACAAACUUUUCAAGGUGAACACACAAAACUAGGCAACAAUGGAGUAGUAUUUUUAAAAAGCUUAAUGAAAGAAAGUAUGAGUCAAGGGUUCUCUAUUUCUCUCUUUCUGUAGACAUUAAUUAAUUGGAAUACUACUAUGAGGAAGAGCUGUCUCUUUCCCCUCAUCUAUUUAUUUGCUUAUUUGGGUAUAUCAGCCUAGACUUAGGACUAUUUUAUUUUGUUCUAUGUGUUAAAAUCCAAUAUUAUUGUUAUUAUUAUUUAUUUUGUUGUUCAAAUCGUUCCAGCUGUGGUGAUUAGAGGUUCCUUCAGGUUGGCUCCUGGGUUUUUAAAUUUCCAUUAGAAAGUCUUUCUAUUAUUUGUUUUUGUUAGUAAAUUU
RNAcentral lists this long non-coding RNA (10923 nucleotides) under Equus caballus (horse). RNAcentral's name for it is "lncRNA (ENSECAG00000058144.1)". Lineage: Eukaryota; Metazoa; Chordata; Mammalia; Perissodactyla; Equidae. The record is from RNAcentral.